AGUGAACGCUGGCGGUAGGCCUAACACAUGCCAGUCGAACGGCAGCACAGUAAGAGCUUGCUCUUACGGGUGGCGAGUGGCGGACGGGUCAGGAAUACAUCGGAAUCUACUUUUUCGUGGGGGAUAACGUAGGGAAACUUACGCUAAUACCGCAUACGACCUACGGGUGAAAGCAGGGGAUCUUCGGACCUUGCGCGAUUGAAUGAGCCGAUGUCGGAUUAGCUAGUUGGCGGGGUAAAGGCCCACCAAGGCGACGAUCCGUAGCUGGUCUGAGAGGAUGAUCAGCCACACUGGAACUGAGACACGGUCCAGACUCCUACGGGAGGCAGCAGUGGGGAAUAUUGGACAAUGGGCGCAAGCCUGAUCCAGCCAUACCGCGUGGGUGAAGAAGGCCUUCGGGUUGUAAAGCCCUUUUGUUGGGAAAGAAAAGCAGCAGGUUAAUACCCCGCUGUUCUGACGGUACCCAAAGAAUAAGCACCGGCUAACUUCGUG
This 492-nucleotide ribosomal RNA is filed under the name uncultured bacterium. RNAcentral describes it as "partial 16S ribosomal RNA". It matches the Rfam family "Bacterial small subunit ribosomal RNA", at positions 29 to 507 of the family's 1533-position model. The record is from RNAcentral.